This 468-nucleotide ribosomal RNA is filed under the name uncultured bacterium. RNAcentral describes it as "partial 16S ribosomal RNA". It matches the Rfam family "Bacterial small subunit ribosomal RNA", at positions 28 to 507 of the family's 1533-position model. The record is from RNAcentral.
GACGAACGCUGGCGGCGUGCUUAACACAUGCAAGUCGAACGGAAAGGCCCUGCUUUUGUGGGGUGCUCGAGUGGCGAACGGGUGAGUAACACGUGAGUAACCUGCCCUUGACUUUGGGAUAACUUCAGGAAACUGGGGCUAAUACCGGAUAGGAGCUCCUGCUGCAUGGUGGGGGUUGGAAAGUUUCGGCGGUUGGGGAUGGACUCGCGGCUUAUCAGCUUGUUGGUGGGGUAGUGGCUUACCAAGGCUUUAACGGGUAGCCGGCCUGAGAGGGUGACCGGCCACAUUGGGACUGAGAUACGGCCCAGACUCCUACGGGAGGCAGCAGUGGGGAAUAUUGCACAAUGGGCGGAAGCCUGAUGCAGCCACGCCGCGUGCGGGAUGACGGCCUUCGGGUUGUAAACCGCUUUCGCCUGUGACGAAGCGUGAGUGACGGUAAUGGGUAAAGAAGCACCGGCUAACUACGUG